GGGGGGUAUCACCCCUUCGUCCCAGUGCCGAGCCGACGCUACUGGAGCCAGAGGGAUUCUGGGGUCCAGGGAAGACCUCCGCACACUGAUGUCGCACACGCGGAUCACAACGUAGGAAACUUGUUUUCGCGCACUCGAGUAUAAAACACGUCCGGUACGCAACGACUUUCCACUCUCUCCUGGGGACUCGGUGUGUCCGCUGAUGUAUGAAACGUUUGAUUGAAUUGACAGCACACACACACACACACGCACACACUCCGCACACACCCCCUUGCCCUCAAGGGUCCAAGGGCCAAUCGAGCGCGUAUCGAAUGCGAACUCAACUCCACGAUCCACGCUCCACGGCCCUCAGCUUCUGGCCAUAAAAAACAAGAUGUCAUAAAUUUUCAACGCAUUUCUCUGUUUGUUUUCCACGGUGCUUUUCCACCCACCCCCACCCCCUCUCCAUUCCCUUUGCUCGUUUCACGUUUUAAGCGUUUGCGUGUGCAUUUUGCGGCCGCCCUUGCUUUUUAUGCACAUUAAGUUAAUUGGAAAACUCAUAAGGCCCAAUGAGCAUCGCGGCCACCUUGCGGAUUGAGCUAGUCACUGCUAACGGGGCCCCGAAACAUUAAUCUCCGUUUGCCACUAAGCAGGGGAAGUGGAAGUGCCCCACUGAUUACUGGGCCGCCGCCCCACCAAAUAAACAAACAGAGCGGCGGGGGGAAAUUGAAAAAUUUUAAUCUCUGCCGCGAAGCGGAAACACGCGGCGUAGUGUUGUCAUUUUGUAUUUUUAAAAGGACCUAUUGCAGUUCGAAACAUUUUUAGAGAAGUUUUUAAAAAAGAAAAGAUCAAAAGAUAUAUCAGAACUUAUAAAUAAGCUACUUGUUGUAAAACAGAAUAUUUCUACCAAAAGAUUAGACCUUACAAAUAUUUUUAAAUUAUAGUAUACUUUUUUGCUGUUGUCACUUAAUAAUUGUAAACUACAAAUAUUAUUUUUUAUGACUA
Drosophila ficusphila is the source of this 984-nucleotide long non-coding RNA. RefSeq lists it as uncharacterized. The record is from RefSeq and is a predicted model, not a curated record. The transcript is spliced from 2 exons. Lineage: Eukaryota; Metazoa; Arthropoda; Insecta; Diptera; Drosophilidae.